Molecule: ribosomal RNA, 301 nt
Filed under: uncultured bacterium
Lineage: Bacteria
Description: partial 16S ribosomal RNA
Rfam family: Bacterial small subunit ribosomal RNA
Source: RNAcentral
CAGUCGCCACGGGAAUACGUAGGGUGCAAGCGUUAAUCGGAAUUACUGGGCGUAAAGCGUGCGCAGGCGGUUUUGUAAGACAGAGGUGAAAUCCCCGGGCUCAACCUGGGAACUGCCUUUGUGACUGCAAGGCUAGAGUACGGCAGAGGGGGAUGGAAUUCCGCGUGUAGCAGUGAAAUGCGUAGAUAUGCGGAGGAACACCGAUGGCGAAGGCAAUCCCCUGGGCCUGUACUGACGCUCAUGCACGAAAGCGUGGGGAGCAAACAGGAUUAGAUACCCGGGUAGUCCCUGUCUUUUAUAC